GGGCGCAUAGCUCAGCUGGGAGAGCACCUGCCUUACAAGCAGGGGGUCACAGGUUCGAUCCCUGUUGUGCCCACCA
Molecule: transfer RNA, 76 nt
Filed under: Clostridium sp.
Lineage: Bacteria; Bacillati; Bacillota; Clostridia; Eubacteriales; Clostridiaceae
Also listed under: 29 other names
Description: tRNA-Val
Rfam family: tRNA
About the family: Transfer RNA (tRNA) molecules are approximately 80 nucleotides in length.
Source: RNAcentral